GGGCGAAACCAUGUUUCCUAUUUUGGUUCACUGUGGUGUUUUAGUGUUUCAUCGUAACAUUUCUCCACAUUAGAACAAUACAGUAUUACCUUCAAACAUCCUAAUAUGAUGACUCUGUUUAUUUGGUUUCAUUUACUGAUUAUAGUUGGAGUUCAUGUAAGAUCAGAAGUGUCAGGUCUCCUUCAAAAACCUUACAUAGAGUCUCCAGAGAAACAAAUGAAUAUAGAAGACACCAUUAUGAUUCGCUGCAAAUUUGGGAGUGGAAUUCGCUGCUAUUUCUAUAA
RNAcentral lists this long non-coding RNA (284 nucleotides) under Lepisosteus oculatus (spotted gar). Its description in RNAcentral is "lncRNA (ENSLOCG00000021172.1)". Lineage: Eukaryota; Metazoa; Chordata; Actinopteri; Semionotiformes; Lepisosteidae. The record is from RNAcentral.